This 290-nucleotide ribosomal RNA is filed under the name uncultured bacterium. RNAcentral describes it as "partial 16S ribosomal RNA". It matches the Rfam family "Bacterial small subunit ribosomal RNA", at positions 28 to 317 of the family's 1533-position model. The record is from RNAcentral.
GACGAACGCUGGCGGCGUGCUUAACACAUGCAAGUCGAGCGGUAAGGCCCUUUCGGGGGUACGACGAGCGGCGAACGGGUGAGUAACACGUGGGUGACCUGCCCUCAGCUCUGGGAUAAGCCUGGGAAACCGGGUCUAAUACUGGAUAUGACUCCAUGACGCAUGUUGUGGGGUGGAAAGCCUUGUGCGGCUGAGGAUGGGCCCGCGGCCUAUCAGCUUGUUGGGUGGGGUGANGGCCUACCAAGGCGACGACGGGUAGCCGGCCUGAGAGGGCGACCGGCCACACUGGG